This 418-nucleotide ribosomal RNA is filed under the name uncultured bacterium. Its description in RNAcentral is "bacterial SSU rRNA". It matches the Rfam family "Bacterial small subunit ribosomal RNA", at positions 362 to 777 of the family's 1533-position model. The record is from RNAcentral.
UAUUGGUCAAUGGACGAGAGUCUGAACUAGCCAAGUAGCGUGAAGGAUGACUGCCCUAUGGGUUGUAAACUUCUUUUAUAUGGGAAUAAAACAGGGUAUGCAUACCCUCUUGUAUGUACCAUAUGAAUAAGGAUCGGCUAACUCCGUGCCAGCAGCCGCGGUAAUACGGAGGAUCCGAGCGUUAUCCGGAUUUAUUGGGUUUAAAGGGAGCGUAGGUGGAUUGUUAAGUCAGUUGUGAAAGUUUGCGGCUCAACCGUAAAAUUGCAGUUGAAACUGGCAGUCUUGAGUACAGUAGAGGUGGGCGGAAUUCGUGGUGUAGCGGUGAAAUGCUUAGAUAUCACGAAGAACUCCGAUUGCGAAGGCAGCUCACUGGACUGCAACUGACACUGAUGCUCGAAAGUGUGGGUAUCAAACAGGA